Molecule: ribosomal RNA, 478 nt
Filed under: uncultured bacterium
Lineage: Bacteria
Description: partial 16S ribosomal RNA
Rfam family: Bacterial small subunit ribosomal RNA
Source: RNAcentral
CGCUGGCGGCAGGCCUAACACAUGCACGUCGAGCGGAUGAAGGGAGCUUGCUCCUGGAUUCAGCGGCGGACGGGUGAGUAAUGCCUAGGAAUCUGCCUGGUAGUGGGGGAUAACGUCCGGAAACGGGCGCCAAUACCGCAUACGUCCUGAGGGAGAAAGUGGGGGAUCUUCGGACCUCACGCUAUCAGAUGAGCCUAGGUCGGAUUAGCUAGUUGGUGGGGUAAAGGCCUACCAAGGCGACGAUCCGUAACUGGUCUGAGAGGAUGAUCAGUCACACUGGAACUGAGACACGGUCCAGACUCCUACGGGAGGCAGCAGUGGGGAAUAUUGGACAAAGGGCGAAAGCCUGAUCCAGCCAUGCCGCGUGUGUGAAGAAGGUCUUCGGAUUGUAAAGCACUUUAAGUUGGGAGGAAGGGCAGUAAGUUAAUACCUUGCUGUUUUGACGUUACCAACAGAAUAAGCACCGGCUAACUUCGUG